UGACAAUUAUAUUAGCUG
This 18-nucleotide small nuclear RNA is filed under the name Arabidopsis thaliana (thale cress). RNAcentral's name for it is "snRNA_04436". The record is from RNAcentral. Lineage: Eukaryota; Viridiplantae; Streptophyta; Magnoliopsida; Brassicales; Brassicaceae.